UACGAUCUGAGUUUUCAGAGUUUCUAUCAUCAAUGUUCAAUUGACCAUCUAUCUCCGCUUUAAAUAACCUUCUUAGAGAUGCAUACGCUACAAUUGAAAUCUAUAAAAUUGUUUCAGUGUUAGUAUCUCUUUACGGUUGUCGACGUCGUUCCACCUAAAACCAGUUUCAAAUUACCCAAAUUGUUUUUCAUCCUCAUCUAAAAUUGAUGGAAGAGAACAUAAGAGGCCAUCUGAUCGACACCGUUCAUUCGAAAAAGAAAAGCUGAUUCCAUCUCUCAUCGUUUAAUAACGAUGUAGCAGUGUAAGAAAUUCGAUUCUAUUUCUGUUAAGUUUACAGUUUGAUUAAUCCCAAAGGAAGAACUCAUCAUCAGUACAAACAAUAUUUUUGGUGUUUGUGAAAUAAGACAGAGACGGAUUGGGAUUGUUUGAGAAGAGGAUAUUUCAGUUUGCUAAACCCUGGAAACGGAUAGCCUCUACCUAGCUACAGACAGAUUCCACCAACACGUUUCUUUGAUAUCGUCUUUGAGAUGGCAUUUACCUUCCAUAGUAGAAGGGAGACGAAGCUUGGAACUAUGCCCUCUUAGGUAUUCAAAUGCUUCUCUCAUGUCAUUGAGUGAGGUAAGAUUAUAGAUUUGACUCUUAUUUUAUAUCAUAGUCUGCAUGCAGCCCUAUAACUUCUUACUAACGUUUUUUUUUAAUUUUCCAAACCAAUGGUUAAUGCUAAGAUAGAUGAAGAGAGAGCGAGACAUGGUUAAUCAACUUAUAAUUUUUUGGUAGAUGUUUCAAGCCAUUUAAUAACACAUUGCAAAGUUGACUCUAGCAUAAUGAAGAUAAUUAUAGUGUAAAAUUCUUUGUAUGAGUGGUACAAAUAUUUGACUUGAUCAUCCCUAAUAACUCUUUCUUCCAGGUUUUAAGUCAAUAACACCAUCACACUAAAAAAAAGCAUGUGAUGCUACGAUUAACAAUGUAUCUGUUCAAAUUACAUGCGUUUAGAAGAAUCAAUUCAGUUGGUUUUGAAGAGUUUAUACAUGGGGACACAAAAAAAAUGGUCAAAUCUUUUAUUUCGAUUAGGAAAAACGACAAGCCAGUGAUCAAGGUUCCUAGAAUACUGAUGAGGAUGAUGGAUGAUUAUAUGAAAGUAUGGUUGUUUAGAGAGUUUGUCUGUAGAUAGAAACAAUGCAAGUUCUGGAAAUUGAAACUACGUAUAGUAUAGGCUCAAGAACUUCGACCUUCACUCCAGCAUGGUGGGAUUGUGCUGCCUCAACAUUUUGGUUCGGUAGAUAAUCCAAAUAAACCUUAAAUUGUUUUACAUUAGCUAGGUUUGUGCAGGUUGUAUUUGUUUUCCAAAACUUUUCACAUACUUUGGCUGAUAAAUUUUUAGUGCAGAAGGCAUCAAUAAACAACACAAAGUCAUCGUUUGCUUU
This is a long non-coding RNA of Arabidopsis lyrata subsp. lyrata, 1424 nucleotides long. RefSeq lists it as uncharacterized. The record is from RefSeq and is a predicted model, not a curated record. The transcript has 2 exons. NCBI's taxonomy places the organism in Eukaryota, Viridiplantae, Streptophyta, Magnoliopsida, Brassicales, Brassicaceae.